RNAcentral lists this ribosomal RNA (1918 nucleotides) under human gut metagenome. RNAcentral describes it as "bacterial LSU rRNA". It matches the Rfam family "Bacterial large subunit ribosomal RNA", at positions 3 to 1999 of the family's 2925-position model. The record is from RNAcentral.
UCAAGCUAGAAAGAGCGCAAGGGGAAUGCCUUGGCAUCAGGAGCCGACGAAGGACGUGACAAGCUGCGAUAAGCUGCGGUGAGCUGCACAUAAGCUUUGACCCGCAGAUUUCCGAAUGGGGAAACCCGGCAGAGCAAUACUCUGUCAGCGUGCGUUGAAUCAAAUAGGCGUACGCGGGGAACCGCCUGAACUGAAACAUCUAAGUAGGGCGAGGAAGAGAAAUCAACCGAGAUUCCGCUAGUAGUGGCGAGCGAACGCGGAAGAGGCCAAACCGGAGGUAGCAAUAUUUCCGGGGUUAGGACUGCAAUAUGUAACUUUAAUCUUUAACUGAAUGCUUUGGGAAGAGCAGCGAUACAGGGUGAUAGCCCCGUAAGUGAAAAGGAUUGAGUGCUAGCAGUAUCCAGAGUACCAGCGGACACGUGAAACCCGCUGGGAAGAUGGGGGGACCAUCCUCCAAGCCUAAAUACUACUCAGUGACCGAUAGUGGAGCAGUACCGUGAGGGAAAGGUGAAAAGUACCCCGGGAGGGGAGUGAAAAAGAACCUGAAACCUUGUGCCUACAAGCACCGAGAGCACGUUAAAGUGUGAUCGGGUACUUUUUGUAGAACGGUCCGGCGAGUUAAUAUUUGCAGCGAGGUUAAGGAACUGGAGUUCCGGAGCCGCAGCGAGAGCGAGUCUGAAAAGGGCGUAUGAAGUUGCAGGUAUUAGACCCGAAACCGGGUGACCUAUCCAUGAGCAGGCUGAAGCGGUGGUAAGACACCGUGGAGGGCCGCACCCACGUCUGUUGAAAAAGCCGGGGAUGACUUGUGGAUAGCGGAGAAAUUCCAAUCGAACUCGGAGAUAGCUGGUUCUCCCCGAAAUAGCUUUAGGGCUAGCGUUAUUUUAGAUUACCGGAGGUAAAGCACUGAAUGGUCUAGGGGCCGCGAGGUUACCAAAGCCUAUCAAACUCUGAAUGCCGGAUAAUUGAUGAAUAGCAGUCAGACUGUGUGAGAUAAGUCUCAUAGUCAAAAGGGAAACAGCCCAGAUCUACAGCUAAGGUCCCAAAUGAACACUAAGUGGAAAAUGAUGUGAAACUGCGAAGACAACCAGGAUGUUGGCUUAGAAGCAGCCACUCAUUCAAAGAGUGCGUAAUAGCUCACUGGUCGAGUGGUUUUGCGCAGAAAAUGUAACGGGGCUAAGUGUUCAACCGAAGCUUAGGCAUUGCAGUAAUGCAUUGGGUAGGGGAGCGUCGUAUGCGGGGCGAAGUCAGAGCGGAAGCACUGGUGGACUGCAUACGAGUGAGAAUGCCGGAAUAAGUAGCGAGAAUUAUGUGAGAAUCAUAAUGGCCGAAAAUCUAAGGUUUCUUGGGGAAGGUUCGUCCGCCCAAGGUUAGUCGGGAGCUAAGCUCAGGCCGAAAGGCGUAGGCGAUGCACAUACGGUAGAAAUUCCGUAACCACCGAACAUUUAAGCUAGAGGGACGCUUUCUUUAAGGUUAUCCCGGGCGAUGGUUGCCCCGGGCGUAAGGGACCGAAAUAUAGUAGGGAAGUAACUGGCGAGAGAGACGAGAAAAGCUCUAGUGUAUACUAAGGUGCCCGUACCGCAAACCGACACAGGUAGAUGGGAUGAGUAUUCUAAGGCCAACGGGAGAAGGGUUGUUAAGGAACUCGGCAAAUUGGCCCCGUAACUUCGGGAUAAGGGGCGCCUGCGAGAGCAGGCCGCAGUGAAAAGGCCCAAGCGACUGUUUAGCAAAAACACAGCUCUCUGCUAAAUCGAAAGAUGACGUAUAGGGGGUGACGCCUGCCCGGUGCUGGAAGGUUAAGGGGAGUGCUUAGCAGCAAUGCGAAGGUGCGAACUUAAGCCCCAGUAAACGGCGGCCGUAACUAUAACGGUCCUAAGGUAGCGAAAUUCCUUGUCAGGUAAGUUCUGACCCGCACGAAUGG